AAAUUGAACGCUGGCGGAAUGCUUACCACUGCAAGUCGAACGGCAGCACGGACUUCGGUCUGGUGGCGAGUGGCGAACGGGUGAGUAAUACAUCGGAACGUGCCCAGUCGUGGGGGAUAACGUAGCGAAAGCUACGCUAAUACCGCAUACGAUCUAAGUGAUGAAAGCGGGGGAUCGCAAGACCUCGCGCGAUUGGAGCGGCCGAUGGCAGAUUAGGUAGUUGGUAGGGUAAAGGCCUACCAAGCCGACGAUCUGUAGCUGGUCUGAGAGGACGACCAGCCACACUGGGACUGAGACACGGCCCAGACUCCUACGGGAGGCAGCAGUGGGGAAUUUUGGACAAUGGGCGAAAGCCUGAUCCAGCCAUUCCGCGUGCAGGAUGAAGGCCCUCGGGUUGUAAACUGCUUUUUGUACGGAACGAAAAGGUCCUGGUUAAUACCUGGGGCUCAUGACGGUACCGUAAGAAUAAGCACCGGCUAACUACGUGCCAGCAGCCGCGGUAAUACGUAGGUGCAAGCGUUAAUCGGAAUUACUGGGCGUAAAGCGUGCGCAGGCGGUGAUGUAAGACAGAGGU
Molecule: ribosomal RNA, 574 nt
Filed under: uncultured Acidovorax sp.
Lineage: Bacteria; Pseudomonadati; Pseudomonadota; Betaproteobacteria; Burkholderiales; Comamonadaceae
Description: bacterial SSU rRNA
Rfam family: Bacterial small subunit ribosomal RNA
Source: RNAcentral